GAUGAACGCUGGCGGCGUGCCUAAUACAUGCAAGUCGAGCGAACGGACGAGAAGCUUGCUUCUCUGAUGUUAGCGGCGGACGGGUGAGUAACACGUGGAUAACCUACCUAUAAGACUGGGAUAACUUCGGGAAACCGGAGCUAAUACCGGAUAAUAUUUUGAACCGCAAGGUUCAAAAGUGAAAGACGGUCUUGCUGUCACUUAUAGAUGGAUCCGCGCUGCAUUAGCUAGUUGGUAAGGUAACGGCUUACCAAGGCAACGAUGCAUAGCCGACCUGAGAGGGUGAUCGGCCACACUGGAACGGAGACACGGUCCAGACUCCUACGGGAGGCAGCAGUAGGGAAUCUUCCGCAAUGGGCGAAAGCCUGACGGAGCAACGCCGCGUGAGUGAUGAAGGUCUUCGGAUCGUAAAACUCUGUUAUUAGGGAAGAACAUAUGUGUAAGUAACUGUGCACAUCUUGACGGUACCUAAUCAGAAAGCCACGGCUAACUACGUG
This 497-nucleotide ribosomal RNA is filed under the name uncultured bacterium. RNAcentral's name for it is "partial 16S ribosomal RNA". It matches the Rfam family "Bacterial small subunit ribosomal RNA", at positions 28 to 507 of the family's 1533-position model. The record is from RNAcentral.